RNAcentral lists this ribosomal RNA (409 nucleotides) under Helcystogramma macroscopa. RNAcentral describes it as "partial large subunit ribosomal RNA". Lineage: Eukaryota; Metazoa; Arthropoda; Insecta; Lepidoptera; Gelechiidae. The record is from RNAcentral.
UUUGAAGAGAGAGUUCAAGAGUACGUGAAACCGUUCAGGGGUAAACCUGCGAAACUCGAAUGAACGAACGGAGAGAUUCAUCGUCAUUCCGCGGCGUACGGACGCGCGCUUCGAUGUCGUCGGCCUCGGCCGGCUGGCACGACGCGUGUCCGUCGACGUCCGUGGACGGCGUGCACUUCUCUCUUAGUAAUACAUCGCGACCCGUUCGAUGUCGGUCUAAGCGCCGUGCGGGAGCCCAUUUGUCGCUUCGGCGGCGAGUGGACCGCCGCGGUUGCCGACCGGCGUACGGACGGUAUUGAAAUUGAACCGCGCACGCGUUUACGCGCGUCCGGCCCGACGCAAGCGUUGGUCGUCGUCAGAGUCCUGCCCGAGUGCGGACUAGGGCGCGGCCGGCCUGUUGUCGCUGCCG